AAAGAUCUGUCAAGAUUAGUAAGCAAAUAUCUCAAUUUAUUCCUCAGAAAUGUAUAGAAAUACAAAAAGAAUAUAUCAUUAAUACCCAACCACCACAACUAUCCCUAGCUAAACAAAUAAUAGGAAAAUAAAAUUCCACACCAAAGGAAAAAAAUCCACACAAUCUCUAAUUCAGUGCCUCAACAGCGCGGCGGCGGAGAGGAGAACCGAAGCGGCGACGGCGGCGCCGGAGACCGACAGCGACAAUGCAUCUCCGGUUUCAGGCGAAGGCGCCGGAGCCUGAGCGGAAGCGGUGGCGGCGAAUGCAGAGACCGCGACGGCGGCGUACGCCAGCAAUGCAGCGGCCUUGUUGAAGCUGAUUUGCGCCAUUGAUGAGCGUUGUAUGGUAGAGAAGAGGCAGAAGAUAGAAGAAGAGGAAGGGAGAGUGAGAAUUGUGUUUGGGGGUUGCACAGAUUUAUAGAGGGAGGCAGAUGCUACAGUGACAGCUGGUGACAGAGAAUGGUAACGCGAAAAUGAUUGUGUGUGUGAAAGAGUGGAGGUGUCGGUGACGGCGUCGUAUCGGUGGCGGACACGUUGCGGCUCGGCUGUAACGUUGUAGGACUAAUCCACGUGCGCGUUUUUUCUUCUUUUUAGGCUGCCAAACUAUCUGUUUUUCCCACUUUCGAUUUAUUUAAUACUCCAGUAGACGUAUGUUUUUAUUUACUACUGCAUAUGUCGGUCACACUGAGGUCUCAAAC
Molecule: long non-coding RNA, 737 nt
Filed under: Salvia miltiorrhiza (redroot sage)
Lineage: Eukaryota; Viridiplantae; Streptophyta; Magnoliopsida; Lamiales; Lamiaceae
Description: long non-coding RNA (SMIL_LNC006520)
Source: RNAcentral